AAUAAAGAAGUAAACAUACAAUUGCCUGCCACAAAAAUGAGAGUUGUUAAGAUUUUGAAUUGAUGCAUCUGCUGAUUCUUGCAACGCAAAUUGAACAAAUCCAUAGCCUCUACUUGUCCCAUCCUCAUUUUUAGCGACUUUACAAGAUAAUAUAUCUCCAAACUUGCAAAAUAAUUCUUGUAGACUUACAUUGAAUUUGUUUUUUUACCUUAACAAACACAUUUCCAACCCCACUUCUCCUAGCAUCUGGAUCUCGGUUAGACCACAUUACUCUGAUCGGCUUAUCCAAAAUAAGACUAUGAUUUAAUCAUGCACAGGUUUUUUGUAUACCGUCAGCCUGGGAGAGGUAAUUCACGUAUCCAUAUCUGAGGGAGUUGCUCGUGGCAUUGUCGCGGCAGACGCGCACGGACGUGAGGGUGCCAAUCUUGCCGAACACCUCGAGCAGGUGCUCCUCCCGCACGCUUUCGUGGAGAUCGCCCACGUACAACGCGGGCACCG
Molecule: small RNA, 498 nt
Filed under: Oryza sativa Japonica Group (Japanese rice)
Lineage: Eukaryota; Viridiplantae; Streptophyta; Magnoliopsida; Poales; Poaceae
Description: sRNA Os03g0278533
Source: RNAcentral